Molecule: ribosomal RNA, 852 nt
Filed under: uncultured bacterium
Lineage: Bacteria
Description: SSU rRNA
Rfam family: Bacterial small subunit ribosomal RNA
Source: RNAcentral
UACGGAGGAUGCAAGCGUUAUCCGGAUUCAUUGGGUUUAAAGGGUGCGUAGGCGGAAUAUUAAGUCAGCGGUGAAAUCCUGCAGCUUAACUGUAGAACUGUCAUUGAUACUGGUAUUCUUGAAUGCAGUUGAGGUAGGCGGAAUGUGUAAUGUAGCGGUGAAAUGCUUAGAUAUUACACAGAACACCGAUUGCGAAGGCAGCUUACUAAACUGUGAUUGACGCUGAGGCACGAAAGCGUGGGGAGCAAACAGGAUUAGAUACCCUGGUAGUCCACGCCGUAAACUAUGAUUACUCGCUGUUGGCGAUAUAUUGUCAGCGGCUGAGCGAAAGCAUUAAGUAAUCCACCUGGGGAGUACGAUCGCAAGGUUGAAACUCAAAGGAAUUGACGGGGGCCCGCACAAGCGGAGGAACAUGUGGUUUAAUUCGAUGAUACGCGAGGAACCUUACCUGGGCUUAAAUGUAGAGCGACAGACCGGGAAACCGGUCCUUCUUCGGACGAUCUACAAGGUGCUGCAUGGUUGUCGUCAGCUCGUGCCGUGAGGUGUCGGGUUAAGUCCCAUAACGAGCGCAACCCUUAUCGUUAGUUGCCAACGGGUCAUGCCGGGGACUCUAACGAAACUGCCGGUGUAAACCGUGAGGAAGGUGGGGAUGACGUCAAAUCAGCACGGCCCUUAUGUCCAGGGCGACACACGUGUUACAAUGGCCGGUACAAAGGGCAGCUACCUGGUGACAGGAUGCUAAUCUCUAAAACCGGUCUCAGUUCGGAUCGAAGUCUGCAACUCGACUUCGUGAAGCUGGAUUCGCUAGUAAUCGCGCAUCAGCCAUGGCGCGGUGAAUACGUUCCCGGGCCU